CCUACGGGAGGCUGCAGUGAGGAAUAUUGGUCAAUGGACGAAAGUCUGAACCAGCCAAGUAGCGUGAAGGAUGACUGCCCUAUGGGUUGUAAACUUCUUUUAUAUGGGAAUAAAGUGUUCUACGUGUGGGGUUUUGUAUGUACCAUAUGAAUAGGGAUCGGCUAAAUCCGUGCCAGCAGCCGCGGUAAUACGGAGGGUCCGGGCGUUAUCCGUAUUUAUUGGGUUUAAAGGGAGCGUAGGUGGAUUGUUAAGCCAGUUGUGAAAGGUUGGGGCUCAACCGUAAAAUUGCAGUUGAAACUGGCAGUCUUGAGUACAGUAGAGGCGGGCGGAAUUCGUGGUGUAGCGGUGAAAUGCUUAGAUAUCACGAAGAACUCCGAUUGCGAAGGCAGCUUACUGGAGUGCAACUGACACUGAGGCUCGAAAGUGUGGGUAUCAAACAGGAUUAGAUACCCGAGUAGUC
This 460-nucleotide ribosomal RNA is filed under the name uncultured bacterium. RNAcentral's name for it is "partial 16S ribosomal RNA". It matches the Rfam family "Bacterial small subunit ribosomal RNA", at positions 338 to 795 of the family's 1533-position model. The record is from RNAcentral.